UGGAGAUGCUGCGGUUGGUGGUCCUCUGGUCAAAACUGCCCCCAAGAGCCAAAGGUGUUUGUGGUCCUCAGUGCUCAGCUGGAAGCAGACCAAGCUCUUCCCACAGGUUAGAACCAGCCAUCACCUGGAGGGCAUCACACAAUCAUUUAGGCUGGAGAAGACCCUCGAGAUCAUCAAACCCAACCGAGAUCAUCAAACCCAACCGACAAAGGAAUCUCAGUCCACAGCAGCCUUUAUCCACCUCUGAACUUCAACAGCCCAGAUCCUUCACAUCCUUCUGCAAAUCACUGCUCAUUCUGGAGUGUGACAAAAUACCCACCUUACGCACAGCCUGUACCGAUAUCUAUAAAUCCAGCAUUUAAUAGCUUGACACACUGAUAAAAUAUCACAUUAUUUAUUCCAACCUUAUAAUCAGAAAGUCAGAGUUACAGUAAAUGGAAUCUUUUCUAUCCUCUGUUUUAAAAGGUCUAAUUAUUUUAUUACUCAAUGUAUGUACAUGCAGAUAAGUAAUAAUUAUUCUGAGUAUUAUCCUGCAUAAUAGAGCUAGUUAAUGCUCAGAGAUAAUAGCACAGAGACAGCUCAUUAUACCAAUUUGUACAAAAAUAACAGAAUUAUUUUUUCUUCUGAACAAACUUAGUCUGCUUUGAUAAUAACAAGUUUCAUCACUUCUUUAUUUGCUGAGAGAUUAAACUCUGUGCAUCAUAGUGAUUAUUAUUUCAAUGAUGAAUCACCAUGUGCUGGAUUUAUACCGGAUUCAAAGAGGAAUUUGAAGGCAGAUUCAUGUAAGGCAACACUAAAAGAAGGAUGAUCCUGAAAUUAUUGCACAUUUGUUUAUAAACAGCCUUUUUACAGGAAAUGUCAUUUUUUGAGUCCGUGCUGCUCACAGCUGAGAAAACUCAGAUGAGGGUGGAGAGGAGGAAACGGGGAUGUUUUCCAGUAUCUCAGAAUUUUUAAAUACUGCCAGCAGUGGUGACUCCACCACUUCCCUGGGCAGCCCGUUCCAAGGCUUAAGAACCUUUUCUUUGUAAAAAUUGUUCCUAAUCUCCAGUCUGAACCUCCCCUGGAGCAACUUGAGGCCAUUUCCUCUUGUCCCAUCACCUGUUCUUUGGGAGAAGGGACCGACCCCCCCCCGGCUACACCCUCCUUUCAGGGAGUUGGAGAGAGCGAGAAGGUCUCCCCUCAGCCUCCUUUUCUCCAGGCUGAACACCCCCAGCUCCCUCAGCCUCUCCCCAUAAGACUUAUUCUCCAGACCCCUCACCAGCUCCAUUGCCCUUCUCUGGACCCGCUCCAGCACCUCAAUAUCUUUAUUGUCGUGAAGGAAAAUGGCUACUGCAGAAGACAAUAUUAAAAUGUUGUAGUGGGGAGGGUUGGUGGCACUUCAAGCUUCACCUUUUCAUCUGCUGCUCAUUAUUUUCCAGACUUGCAUUUCUAUAUAUCACAUGCCAAACGCUCUUUCCUUCUCUAACCUGGGCCAGCCUGGCCAGACCUUUGUUCUUGGCCUGUGGUUGAUCUUGCUUCAUUUUCUGUCUCAAGAGCGUGACCUUCUGCUCUUGCAAUGGUCCUGAGGAACGGCAGUGGGUGUUAUCCAUUUCUCAAUGGCAGUGAUUUUAAGGUGGGGGUUGUUUAUUGUUUGCUUGGCGGGUGUUUCAGGACACCUCAGGAGUAACUGAACCAUGUCAGAUAAUGAAGAGAAACCAAUUCAUCUCCUGCUCUCUUGCAAAUCCCAGACACUGGGUUAAUCACGCAAAUGAUUAGGAACUCCAAGCAGACUGGUGGAAGAUUUUAAUUCUGUUUGUUGAGAGCUGUAAACAUAAUUGAUUUACAUUUUUUCUCCAAUAAGUUAAUUUGAGAGAGUGUUCCCAUUGUGAAUAAUAUCAGAUCCAAGGCUAUAUGGCUUACAAAUAUCCCUGACUCCACUGGAGAAAGUACAGAUCACUCCUUGCUGCAGAAAGAUGAAAAGGAUGAAGGCUGAUGACUGGUAAAUGUUGGCUUCCUGUAAACAGAAAUUACCAAAUCUGACAAAUGCUAUACAUUAGCAGUGUAACACAAGAAGCAACACGCUCUCCAUUAUCCCUGAUAAGUUAAUGGAUCAGUGCUGAAAUUAAAAAAUAAAAAAUAAAAAAUUAAAGAAAAUCUUCUUUGG
RNAcentral lists this long non-coding RNA (2143 nucleotides) under Calidris pugnax (ruff). RNAcentral describes it as "lncRNA (ENSCPUG00000009588.1)". Lineage: Eukaryota; Metazoa; Chordata; Aves; Charadriiformes; Scolopacidae. The record is from RNAcentral.